CACCUUGCGAUUUUGCGCAAAGGUCCUAUAUCGGUUCUACCGGACUUCGGUCCGGCUAUGGCGAUAAAUGGCGUCGUGAAAUAGAUGCAGCGGACCCGGGGGCAGUACCCGGCGGCUCCACCAUAUCUCCCCGGUUAUCGCGGGAUGUCUGGGGCCGAACCAGGAUCGACGUGUGUUGAAAGACGAACGCUUUUGCCCGGCAUGAAUAAGCCGUUAAAUGUUUCAAAACACCUAAAUGCCAACGAUAACGAGGCAUUCGCAAUCGCAGCGUAACCUAAAGUCCUCACGGACUUAGUUACACUGGCCGAAAGCGCGGUACGGGCCACACCGGGCAACAGAAGUGGAAACCGGCGGUACGGGGAGCACCGGGCAACAGAAGGUCCCCACU
RNAcentral lists this transfer-messenger RNA (388 nucleotides) under Sandarakinorhabdus sp. The stretch from base 1 to 349 matches the Rfam family "Alphaproteobacteria transfer-messenger RNA". From Rfam's summary of the family: Bacterial tmRNA, also known as 10Sa RNA or SsrA, is named for its dual tRNA and mRNA-like properties. Its role is to liberate the mRNA from a stalled ribosome. To accomplish this part of the tmRNA is used as a reading frame that ends in a translation stop signal. Lineage: Bacteria; Pseudomonadati; Pseudomonadota; Alphaproteobacteria; Sphingomonadales; Sphingosinicellaceae. The record is from RNAcentral.